GGGAGCCGGUACCGAGGCCCGAGCCGCGGGAGCCGAGCGAAGGCAGCGCCGAGGCCGCGGUUUCCCCCUGGGCCUCCCCAGAAGCAACCAUGGGCAUCAAAUUUUUAGAAGUUAUCAAACCAUUCUGUGCAGUUCUACCAGAAAUUCAGAAACCGGAAAGGAAAAUCCAGUUUAGAGAGAAGGUUCUAUGGACUGCUAUAACGCUCUUCAUUUUCUUAGUAUGUUGUCAGAUUGAGUAAGCAUAAUUUUUAGUGGCCAUGUAAUAUUCCAUUGUGGCUAGUCAGUCUUACACUGAGAAGAGUGACCUUGGCUGUCUUUAGUAUAUGGAGCUUUGCAAAAUUAUUCUAUGACCAGGCAGAUCCCACUGUUUGGAAUCAUGUCAUCAGAUUCUGCAGAUCCUUUCUACUGGAUGAGAGUCAUUCUGGCUUCCAAUAGAGGAACUUUAAUGGAAUUGGGUAUCUCCCCAAUUGUAACAUCUGGUUUGAUUAUGCAGUUGUUAGCUGGAGCCAAAAUCAUUGAAGUUGGAGAUACACCGAAAGAUAGAGCUUUAUUCAAUGGAGCCCAGAAAUUGUUUGGUAUGAUCAUUACCAUUGGGCAAGCCAUUGUGUAUGUCAUGACGGGGAUGUAUGGGGACCCUGCGGAAAUGGGUGCCGGGAUCUGUCUCCUGAUCAUCAUUCAGUUGUUUGUUGCUGGUUUGAUUGUGCUGCUGUUAGAUGAGCUGCUACAGAAGGGUUACGGCUUGGGGUCUGGGAUUUCCCUCUUUAUUGCCACCAACAUCUGUGAGACCAUUGUCUGGAAGGCCUUUAGUCCCACUACCAUUAACACUGGCAGAGGUACUGAGUUUGAGGGUGCAGUCAUAGCUCUGUUCCAUUUGUUGGCCACCAGGACGGACAAAGUCCGAGCUUUACGGGAGGCUUUUUAUCGGCAGAACUUACCCAAUCUCAUGAACCUCAUUGCUACAGUUUUUGUGUUUGCUGUUGUUAUAUAUUUCCAAGGAUUUCGCGUUGAUCUGCCCAUUAAGUCGGCCCGCUACCGAGGACAGUACAGCAGCUACCCCAUCAAACUCUUCUACACCUCCAACAUCCCCAUCAUCCUCCAGUCGGCCUUGGUGUCAAACCUGUAUGUGAUUUCCCAGAUGCUGUCUGUUCGAUUUAGCGGCAACUUUUUAGUAAACUUACUAGGACAGUGGGCCGAUGUCAGUGGGGGAGGCCCCGCACGUUCUUAUCCAGUUGGAGGCCUUUGUUACUAUCUUUCUCCCCCUGAGUCCAUGGGCGCCAUCUUUGAGGAUCCUGUCCAUGUCGUUGUUUAUAUCAUCUUCAUGUUGGGGUCAUGUGCAUUCUUCUCUAAGACAUGGAUUGAAGUGUCUGGUUCCUCAGCCAAAGAUGUAGCUAAACAGCUGAAAGAACAGCAGAUGGUAAUGAGGGGCCACCGAGAUACGUCUAUGGUUCAUGAGCUUAAUAGUGCUAGAGCGUAGGAAUAGACCCUGGCGUCCACUGUGAGAUGUUCUUCAGCUACCAGAGCUGUGGAAAGCAAAGAAAACCACUUAGAUCGUGCCGUUAAGGAAGGACAAAACAUCUUAUUCAAUCAGUGUUUGCGGAGCAGACCAAAAGUGAAGUUAAGAAGGUGGAAGGGAGAAGGAAGACAUUUUACAAAAAGGAUACUCUUCUACUAAAAGAUAACCCCGCAUGGCAUUUCACACUUUCCUAUGUCACCCUGCUUUCCACACACCUCCUCAGAGGGAGGGGCUAUCUGUUAUUGUUCCUGUUUUAUGAAAAAAGCCAAGAGAGGCUACAGAACCCGUUUGAUGUGAUAGCUAAUUAUGGUCCGUGGAGCCUCAAACCGAGUCGGGCCUGUGACUCCAAGCUGCGCUGCCUCGUAUUGAUUGUCAUGCCUUUCUCCAAAUACGUGCCAGAUAAAUUAUUUUAUCUAUUCAGUAUGAUUGUUCUAACUCUGGCUUUGAGCUGUCGAGGUGGCUUCUACCUUAGGUCUAGUUUUUGGAAAGGUGAAGCAGGAGUGGAAGCUCUCUAAGGGAUCUGAAAUCUGAUUUUAUCCGAAGAAAUCACAGCAGCCUUUGAAAGACACAUUCAGAUUUUCAAACAAACAACAGACAUUUCAAAACCAGGUGCUCUGCUUAUUCAUUGAAACUGUAAGCUGCUGAAACUCAGGGAAAAGCUUAAGAAACUGGUCUUAAAGCUUCAGGCCAAACAAUGCUUCAAAUCACAUUUGAAGUAAUCACUUAAAAACAGUAGAAAAAUCAGUUAUCAAUUACCUAAAACACUUAUACCCAAUAAAAUAUUCCCAUGAUGACAA
RNAcentral lists this small RNA (2310 nucleotides) under Pongo abelii (Sumatran orangutan). RNAcentral's name for it is "processed transcript". The record is from RNAcentral. Lineage: Eukaryota; Metazoa; Chordata; Mammalia; Primates; Hominidae.